Molecule: ribosomal RNA, 203 nt
Filed under: uncultured Rhodobacterales bacterium
Lineage: Bacteria; Pseudomonadati; Pseudomonadota; Alphaproteobacteria; Rhodobacterales
Description: partial 16S ribosomal RNA
Rfam family: Bacterial small subunit ribosomal RNA
Source: RNAcentral
UACGGAGGGGGCUAGCGUUGUUCGGAAUUACUGGGCGUAAAGCGCACGUAGGCGGAUCAGUCAGUCAGGGGUGAAAUCCCGGGGCUCAACCCCGGAACUGCCUUUGAUACUGCUGGUCUUGAGGUCGAGAGAGGUGAGUGGAAUUCCGAGUGUAGAGGUGAAAUUCGUAGAUAUUCGGAGGAACACCAGUGGCGAAGGCGGCU